RNAcentral lists this ribosomal RNA (827 nucleotides) under uncultured Bacillota bacterium. RNAcentral describes it as "bacterial SSU rRNA". It matches the Rfam family "Bacterial small subunit ribosomal RNA", at positions 75 to 917 of the family's 1533-position model. The record is from RNAcentral. Lineage: Bacteria; Bacillati; Bacillota.
AUGAAACCUGAUAUGACUUAGUGGCGGACGGGUGAGUAACACGUGAGCAACCUGCCUUUCAGAGGGGGAUAACGGCUGGAAACGGUCGCUAAUACCGCAUGACGUGUUCGGAUGGCAUCAUCUGAACAUCAAAGACUUAUCGCUGAAAGAUGGGCUCGCGUCUGAUUAGAUAGUUGGUGGGGUAACGGCCUACCAAGUCUACGAUCAGUAGCCGGACUGAGAGGUUGAACGGCCACAUUGGGACUGAGAUACGGCCCAGACUCCUACGGGAGGCAGCAGUGGGGAAUAUUGCACAGUGGGGGAAACCCUGAUGCAGCAACGCCGCGUGAAGGAUGACGGUUUUCGGAUUGUAAACUUCUUUUCUUAGUGACGAAGACAGUGACGGUAGCUAAGGAAUAAGCAUCGGCUAACUACGUGCCAGCAGCCGCGGUAAUACGUAGGAUGCAAGCGUUAUCCGGAUUUACUGGGUGUAAAGGGAGCGCAGGCGGGACUGCAAGUUGGAUGUGAAAUACCGUGGCUUAACCACGGAACUGCAUCCAAAACUGUAGCUCUUGAGUGAAGUAGAGGCAAGCGGAAUUCCGAGUGUAGCGGUGAAAUGCGUAGAUAUUCGGAGGAACACCAGUGGCGAAGGCGGCUUGCUGGGCUUUAACUGACGCUGAGGCUCGAAAGUGUGGGGAGCAAACAGGAUUAGAUACCCUGGUAGUCCACACUGUAAACGAUGAUAGCUAGGUGCGGGGGGUCUGACCCCUUCCGUGCCGGAGUUAACGCAAUAAGCUAUCCACCUGGGGAGUACGACCGCAAGGUUGCAACUCAAAGGAAUUGACGGA